UACGGGGGGGGCAAGCGUUGUUCGGAAUUACUGGGCGUAAAGCGCGCGUAGGCGGCCCUUCAAGUCGAACGUGAAAUCCCCGGGCUCAACCCGGGAACUGCGUCCGAUACUGGAAGGCUUGAGUCCGGGAGAGGGAUGCGGAAUUCCAGGUGUAGCGGUGAAAUGCGUAGAUAUCUGGAGGAACACCGGUGGCGAAGGCGGCAUCCUGGACCGGCAUUGACGCUGAGGCGCGAAAGCUAGGGGAGCAAACAGG
This 253-nucleotide ribosomal RNA is filed under the name uncultured bacterium. RNAcentral's name for it is "partial 16S ribosomal RNA". It matches the Rfam family "Bacterial small subunit ribosomal RNA", at positions 524 to 776 of the family's 1533-position model. The record is from RNAcentral.